This 481-nucleotide ribosomal RNA is filed under the name uncultured bacterium. RNAcentral describes it as "partial 16S ribosomal RNA". It matches the Rfam family "Bacterial small subunit ribosomal RNA", at positions 28 to 507 of the family's 1533-position model. The record is from RNAcentral.
GAUGAACGCUGGCGGCGUGCCUAACACAUGCAAGUCGAACGGAGAUUACGGACGGAAGUUUUCGGAUGGAAGACUGUAAUUCUUAGUGGCGGACGGGUGAGUAACGCGUGGGCAACCUGCCCUAUACAGGGGGAUAGCAGCUGGAAACGGCUGGUAAGACCGCAUAAGUCGGUUAAAUCGCAUGAUUUGAUCGGGAAAUGAGCAAUCAGGUAUAGGAUGGGCCCGCGUCCGAUUAGCCAGUUGGCAGGGUAAAAGCCUACCAAAGCGACGAUCGGUAGCCGGACUGAGAGGUCGGACGGCCACAUUGGGACUGAGACACGGCCCAAACUCCCACGGGAGGCAGCAGUGGGGGAUAUUGCACAAUGGAGGAAACUCUGAUGCAGCGACGCCGCGUGAGUGAAGAAGUAUUUCGGUAUGUAAAGCUCUAUCAGCAGGGAAGAUGAUGACGGUACCUGACUAAGAAGCCCCGGCUAACUACGUG